GUUGCAUUGUUUGGUGCAGCAGCACCGCUGAGAGUUUGGUACAGUGGAUUCCCGAUCCGCUACACCAAACAGCCACAACUCUCAUAAUUCAUAAAGGUCUCUCUACAGUACUCCGUCAGUUGCGUCUCCCUAUAGCCUAUAAGUCUGGUUUUAGACUUUUAGGAAACCUUAGAUUUCCUUGUGUCUGCGGCCAAACAACGCUUUCUUCUUACGCCAUGUAAAUCGACAAAGUUCACUCUACUCGGUCGUCUCUCCAUAAUCCGUACUCUGGUGUUGCAGAUGGUUCUUCGGCCUAGUACCGCAUGGGCGGCGAUGAUCUCUCCGGAAGAGGAUCUCGAGAUUGUCCUGCUAGUGGCCAACGUUUGCCCUCUGUUACAGUGCCCAUCCACGAUGCUCUCGGCAUGGUUUUGGUGGAGGAUAUUCGUGCGCCUGAUCCUUUGCCUACUUAAGCGGCUUCAAUCAAGGUAAACCCUACAAGUUUCAGUCAAGGUUGGUUAUGAUAUCAUUGCUUCCAAUGGUCCCGGUGAAUACCCUGUGAUAACUAAAUCAAGAGCUGGAAAUGAUGGAUUUGGGUGUCACCGUCACUCUUGGGAAUGUUACAUAUGUAACCACCGGAGGGAAGCCUUUUGACAUUCGUGGAGGUGACCAUAAAAUCGGGAGACGAUAUUGUAUUGUGGCAAAGAAGAUUCUUGCGUUUGGACUAUUCAGUCAGCUGUAUAGUUGGUUUCCUUCUCUUCGUUGUCCCCGCUGUCCGCUGUCUUUCUGGAUGGGCUAACCCUCAUCCCUCAAGGAAGCUAGAAAAACAUUCAUCUCUCUCACCUGCUUCAAUUGCUAUUCAUGUAAUGUAUAAUUAUGCUCAUUGCUGAUGGUCCUCCAUUUCUUCCUCUAUUUCAUAUAGAGUACAGAAUUUCAUCGUGCUAUCAUUAAAUGCAAGGUCAAUGAUGUAGCAAGCAGGUCUGGGUAAGAUGUUCAGGCAUUGUCUUUCGGAUCAUGGAAUUCUGAGUGAUUCUUAUUAGGAGUUGAA
Molecule: long non-coding RNA, 1024 nt
Organism: Tripterygium wilfordii
Lineage: Eukaryota; Viridiplantae; Streptophyta; Magnoliopsida; Celastrales; Celastraceae
Exons: 3
Source: RefSeq, a predicted model, not a curated record